Molecule: long non-coding RNA, 693 nt
Organism: Canis lupus familiaris (dog)
Lineage: Eukaryota; Metazoa; Chordata; Mammalia; Carnivora; Canidae
Exons: 3
Source: RefSeq, a predicted model, not a curated record
UAGAGACAGAAGUGGGAACAGGUUUUGACCUCCUCUGCAUGUGGCAGGGAGUCUAUGAAAUUCCUCUCUCAAAGCUAUAGAGCAAUUUAGCUUGUUCAGAGCUAGCGUUCUGGAAAGUUCUGAAGUCUAUGAUGUUCUGAUAACAAUUUUCAUUUGAUAAUUCCUCAGACAACCAACUCACUCACUACAUUUGAGUUCCCUGGAGCAAUUUCAAAUAUAGCUACAUCUUUUCUUGGAGGCUUUCUCCUCCAAAAUCAAUAUCUAUACCCAUGAGUGCUCGAACUCAUGACCUCCAAAUCAAGAGCCAGAUGCUCUACUGACUAAGCCAGCCAGGUAUCCCAAUAACUCUGACCUCUGAGCUCAAUAUGCCCCUAAGCAGCAGUAUUUUGGACAGCUAUGGAAAUCUAAAGAGUGACAAUCACAAAUGAGGGCUAUUACCGAGUGGGUCAGGUUUGCCCAAUGAAUCAGAAGAAACUUCAAACUAGAGGUUAUUUCUGGUUUUCGUUAUUCUGCUCAUUUCCUUGUGCAAAAAUAUUUUAGAGCCAAAAUUUAUAUUGAACCUCAUAUGAACUGCUCUAAUAUGUAAAUGAAAAGCAAAAAAAAAAAAGUAGAUUUCACUUAAGCAUGCAGAAAUGGGAACUGAAUUUUUAAAACCUGGUUUUAAAAAUUUCAAAUGAAAUCUUUGUUUGCUUA